AUUAAACGCUGGCGGCAUGCCCUUACACAUGCAAGUCGAACGGCAGCACGGGGGCAACCCUGGUGGCGAGUGGCGGACGGGUGAGUAAAGCAUCGGAACGUAUCCUGGAGUGGGGGAUAACGUAGCGAAAGUUACGCUAAUACCGCAUAUUCUGUGAGCAGGAAAGCAGGGGAUCGCAAGACCUUGCGCUCUGGGAGCGGCCGAUGUCGGAUUAGCUAGUUGGUGGGGUAAAGCCUACCAAGGCGACGAUCCGUAGCGGGUCUGAGAGGAUGAUCCGCCACACUGGGACUGAGACACGGCCCAGACUCCUACGGAGGCAGCAGUGGGGAAUUUUUGGACAAUGGGCGGAAGCCUGAUCCAGCCAUGCCGCGUGAGUGAAGAAGGCCUCGGUGUAAG
RNAcentral lists this ribosomal RNA (396 nucleotides) under uncultured bacterium. RNAcentral's name for it is "bacterial SSU rRNA". It matches the Rfam family "Bacterial small subunit ribosomal RNA", at positions 29 to 429 of the family's 1533-position model. The record is from RNAcentral.